UACGGGGGGGGCAAGCGUUGUUCGGAAUUACUGGGCGUAAAGGGCUCGUAGGCGGCCAACUAAGUCGGAUGUGAAAGCCCCGGGCUCAACCGAGGACGUGCAUUCGAAACUGGCGAGCUUGAGUAUGGAAGAGGGUCGCGGAAUUCCCGGUGUAGAGGUGAAAUUCGUAGAUAUCGGGAGGAACACCAGUGGCGAAGGCGGCGACCUGGGCCAAUACUGACGCUGAGGUGCGAAAGCGUGGGGAGCAAACAGG
This 253-nucleotide ribosomal RNA is filed under the name uncultured bacterium. RNAcentral describes it as "partial 16S ribosomal RNA". It matches the Rfam family "Bacterial small subunit ribosomal RNA", at positions 524 to 776 of the family's 1533-position model. The record is from RNAcentral.